This 454-nucleotide ribosomal RNA is filed under the name uncultured bacterium. Its description in RNAcentral is "bacterial SSU rRNA". It matches the Rfam family "Bacterial small subunit ribosomal RNA", at positions 340 to 786 of the family's 1533-position model. The record is from RNAcentral.
UACGGGAGGCAGCAGUGGGGAAUAUUGCACAAUGGGCGCAAGCCUGAUGUAGCCAUGCCGCGUGUAUGAAGAAGGCCUUCGGGUUGUAAAGUACUUUCAGUCGUGAGGAAGGUGUUAAGGUUAAUAACCUUAGCAAUUGACGUUAGCGACAGAAGAAGCACCGGCUAACUCCGUGCCAGCAGCCGCGGUAAUACGGAGGGUGCGAGCGUUAAUCGGAAUUACUGGGCGUAAAGGGCACGCAGGCGGUUAAUUAAGUUGGAUGUGAAAUCCCCGGGCUUAACCUGGGAAUGGCAUUCAAGACUGGUUAGCUAGAGUCUUGUAGAGGGGGGUAGAAUUCCAUGUGUAGCGGUGAAAUGCGUAGAGAUGUGGAGGAAUACCGGUGGCGAAGGCGGCCCCUGGACAAAGACUGACGCUCAUGUGCGAAAGCGUGGGGAGCAAACAGGGAUUAGAUACC